AAACUAGGAUUAGAUACCCUAUUAUGCCUAGCCGUAAACUUUGAUGGAAACAUACAACUGACAUCCGCCAGGGGACUAUAAGCGCCAGCUUAAAACCCAAAGGACUUGGCGGUGCCUCAGACCCACCUAGAGGAGCCUGUUCUAGAACCGAUAACCCCCGUUCAACCUCACCACCUCUUGUUUUCCCCGCCUAUAUACCGCCGUCGUC
This 208-nucleotide ribosomal RNA is filed under the name Salmo salar (Atlantic salmon). RNAcentral describes it as "partial 12S ribosomal RNA". It matches the Rfam family "Bacterial small subunit ribosomal RNA", at positions 769 to 1010 of the family's 1533-position model. The record is from RNAcentral. Lineage: Eukaryota; Metazoa; Chordata; Actinopteri; Salmoniformes; Salmonidae.